Molecule: long non-coding RNA, 845 nt
Organism: Cotesia glomerata
Lineage: Eukaryota; Metazoa; Arthropoda; Insecta; Hymenoptera; Braconidae
Exons: 4
Source: RefSeq, a predicted model, not a curated record
UGUCACUACAGUAGCUUAACUCCUGCACUUCUAUCGCUAUUCGAGUAGUAUAUCAUCGCAUUCAACGCUUAAUGGUUCUAUAACCAUCAACCCUACAUUUUAGGUUCCGUAUCAUUAAACUUCUUAUUUACACAAUUUUAUCUUCCCAAAAUUGCCGAUCGAUAGAUCUUUAAGAAAAUACGAUUGUCAUAAUAAUUGCAAUGCACUGAUCAGCUUUAUAGCAAGCAUAGUGGUGUAUUUUCUAAAUGAAAUCUACUUCCAUUUCGGCUGCUAAAUGGAAGACUUUUUCAUGUAUUCAUUACACUGAAAGAAAUUGUCUUUGAAAAUUACCGUUAAAUUCACGGUAAUUGCGGGACGGAUGGCACGACCUAAUCAUUUGUCGAAUCUCAGAAGAGUGAAGCACAUGAUUACAAAUACAAAUGGCUGCGCCAUACAAUUUGACAAUUGGAGAUUACCAUAAAUUUUUCAGCGUGUAGGUUCAAUAUUUAAUUUCUGAACGCAAAAUUAUCGCGACCACUGGCUCCAUUACAUCUAUACUCAUGUACAUGCGUAAUAAUAAUAAUAAUAAUAAUAAUAAUAAUAAUAAUAAUAAUUGUUGACAAUCGAAUUAAAAUAAAUAAAUUGUUUUUUCUCUCCACUGGCUUCUGGUCAAAAAUGAGUCGUAAAUUUUGUUAAAUUGAUUAAUAUAAGAAAUUAAGAUAAUUAGUACCUAAGAAUUAAAGCUUGGUUUAUAUUGAGUCAUUUAGUAUAUUAUUUAAUAUUGUUAACACUCUGUCUGUAUCUUCAACUAUGUAUCAUUUAAGUUACCCUGUCAUUGGCCCUAUGGGCUGUUGGGUUUUAAUAAA